This 301-nucleotide ribosomal RNA is filed under the name uncultured bacterium. RNAcentral's name for it is "partial 16S ribosomal RNA". It matches the Rfam family "Bacterial small subunit ribosomal RNA", at positions 509 to 807 of the family's 1533-position model. The record is from RNAcentral.
CAGUAGCCGCGGUAAUACAGAGGGUGCGAGCGUUAAUCGGAUUUACUGGGCGUAAAGCGUGCGUAGGCGGCUUCUUAAGUCGGAUGUGAAAUCCCUGAGCUUAACUUAGGAAUUGCAUUCGAUACUGGGAAGCUAGAGUAUGGGAGAGGAUGGUAGAAUUCCAGGUGUAGCGGUGUAAUGCGUAGAGAUCUGGAGGAAUACCGAUGGCGAAGGCAGCCAUCUGGCCUAAUACUGACGCUGAGGUACGAAAGCAUGGGGAGCAAACAGGAUUAGAUACCCCUGUAGUCCCUGUCUCUUAUAC